RNAcentral lists this long non-coding RNA (1372 nucleotides) under Marmota monax (woodchuck). Lineage: Eukaryota; Metazoa; Chordata; Mammalia; Rodentia; Sciuridae. The record is from RNAcentral.
AAGCUCUGUAUGUAGCUGGGUGUGGUGGCACAUGCCUGUAAUCCCAGCAACUCAGGAGGCUGAGGCAGGAGGAUCACAAGUUCAAAGACAACCUCAGCAAUUUAGCAAGGCCCUAAGCAACUUGGCAAGACCCUGUCUUUAAAAAAAAAGUGGGGGGGCUGGUGAUGUGGCUUAGUGGUUAAAUACCCCUGGGUUCAGUCCCUGAUACCCCCCACCCCAAAAAAGAGAAGAAGCUGUUUUGUCAUGUGCCCCACUUCAAUCACAACCCCGCAACACCUGAGAGCAGUCCUGACUUUCCCACUAAUCAUUUCUGUACUUUUCUGUAGAGUUUUAUCACCCAAAUAUGUCUGUAGCCACAAAACUUAGUCUUGCCCCCAUUUUCAAAAAACUGGUAUGCUUUUGGGCUGGGCUUGUGGUUCAGUGGUAGAGCACUUGCUUAGCAUGUGAGGCACUGGGUUUAAUAAUCAGCACUGCUUAUAAAUAAAUGAAUAAAGGUCCAUCAACAACUAAAAAAAUUAUAAAUAAUUGGUAUGCUUUUUAAAAACAGCUUUGUUUUAAAACAAGACCCAACUUACAUACUGUAAAAUUCACCUAUUUAAACAGUAUAAACCAGUGCUCUUUAGUGUAUUUACAGAGUUGUGAAAUCAUCAGCAUAAUCUAAUUUUAGAACAUUUUAAUCACCCCAGAAAGAACUCUUAUACCUUUUACUAAGUGAUUGGUCCUAAGUCUCCUACUCUACAUAUCUCCCCUAUAUCUCUGUCUCCUUUUCUUUUCCUAGCGAUUCAUCUGCCGAAGGACCCCCAGCUAGAUUUGCACCUAUUUUGAAGAUUUGGAAAUUCAACUCUGUUGGGUCAGAUUGGGCAGAAAGCAUUGGCACACAACUAGCCAGGAAGCCUGGGGUGGUACACUUAACCUCUCUUUGCCUCUGUUUGUCUGUAAGAUGGAGGCAGUUACCUUACCUACCCUUACCUUCCUCAUAGGACUGCUGAGAAAAUUAAAUAAAGUAAUAGAUGAGGAGAUCAGAAGACUUUUCUUCGUGCUAGAGGACCAUGAAAAGGCUCUCUGGGGCUGGGGCUGGCUCAGUGGUACAGCACUUGCCUAGAAUGUGGGAGGCACUGGGUUUGAUCCUCAGCCCCAAAUAGAAAUAAAAUAAAGGUAUUGUAUCCAUCUACAGCUAAAAAUGAUUUUUAAAAGGCUCUCUGCCCUCACUCUUUUUUUUCCCAGUUAAUUAUCAAUCUACUCGUUGACUAUUUUGUUAUCUCUUUAUUUAUUGUACUAGAGAUUGAACCCAGGGGUACUCUACCAUGGAGCCACCUCCCCAGCCCUAUUUAUUUAUUUAUUUAUUUAUUUUUAACAGAGAGAGAGAAAAAAG